GCCUUCCUAGUGUAGUUGUCAGCAGGCUCGACUCGAAUUCGAGAGGUCCUUGGUUCGAGUCCUGGCGAAGGCA
Molecule: non-coding RNA, 73 nt
Organism: Stegodyphus dumicola
Lineage: Eukaryota; Metazoa; Arthropoda; Arachnida; Araneae; Eresidae
Source: the annotation of a RefSeq genome assembly